Nerophis lumbriciformis (worm pipefish) is the source of this 653-nucleotide long non-coding RNA. RefSeq lists it as uncharacterized. The record is from RefSeq and is a predicted model, not a curated record. NCBI's taxonomy places the organism in Eukaryota, Metazoa, Chordata, Actinopteri, Syngnathiformes, Syngnathidae.
GCUGCCUCUGCUGCACCUGUGACGUUUGCCGCCUGCCGUGCAAUGCCAGUGCGCACUGGGCAUCAAAAGCGCAGAUAGAGGCAAAACAAUGUCACAAAAAAGGACAUAUCCUUCAGGUGCAGAAAAAAGGAAGAAGAAGAAAGUGGAAGAGGAGAAAAAAUGCCAUGAUAAAGGUAUGUUUGCAUGACUUGGUAAUAAAAAGUUUAUCAAAGAGAUUUGUAGCUGUAAUUAGCUUUAGCUAGGUGACGUUAGCUAGCUAGCGCGGUGCUAGCAAUAUGUUUUUAGCAUCAGGUUACUAGUGAGAUAUGUUGUUUGCACAAAUUGUUUGCAGCAGAGCAAGGUAAUUUAUGUGAGUAAAAUAAACAUUAUUUUUUACAUCAACUCAUAAGUUAUGUGAAACUUCCCCAGGAGCAUUGUUAAAAUACUUUGGAGGCACAGAAUCAGCCCAGAGCCAGUCCACAUCCUCAGGCUCAACUGUGAGUGAUGAAUCAGGUCCAUCUCCAUCCUCUACAGUGCUCUCUCACACACCUCCAUCCUCUGUGCUCACUGUCCCCUCCAUGUCUGAAACCACAGCUGAUGUAUCUACAACUUCCACCACAACGUCCCCUUCACACCAUGGACCAUCAUCAGCUCCGCCAGUUGACCCAGCUGAG